Haliotis rubra (blacklip abalone) is the source of this 289-nucleotide long non-coding RNA. RefSeq lists it as uncharacterized. The transcript is spliced from 2 exons. NCBI's taxonomy places the organism in Eukaryota, Metazoa, Mollusca, Gastropoda, Lepetellida, Haliotidae. The record is from RefSeq and is a predicted model, not a curated record.
CGUUAGUGAUGUUUACAGCUUAUCACACGGGUCCACGUUUAGUGAUAUUUACAGCUGUAUCACAUGGGUCCACGUUAGUGAUAUUUACAGCUGUAUCACACGGGUCCAAGUUAGUGAGAUUUACAGCUGUAUCACACGGGUCCAAGUUAGUGAUAUUUACAGCUGUAUCACACAGGUCCAAUUUUAAUAAUGCUUUGAACAUGUAAAACAUUGCUUGACAAUUUUCACACUAUCAUUAUCUUCAUCAGGUAGCUAGAUACUAGUACUAUCAGAAGGGUUACCCAGUAAG